AGAAAAGCUUUAAAUGAAAGAAUUUUUGUACUCAUUUCUGUCAGUUGGACUAGGAUGUGGUGUAUGCUCUAAUUAUAUUAGUGUGAGACAAGUAGAUGGUAGGUCGAUGGAGCUUUCAAGCAUCUGAGGCUAGUAGUUCCAUUUGAUGGGAAAAUUCGUUCUAACGUUCAUGCUGUCCAGCUAGCUGGUUCUUAUCUAACUUAUCUUGAGCAAUUGUGUUCGAUAUUGGACAUGAUAGCUUGCGAAGAUUCGUUGCCACGUAUCAAGUUGAAUUUUUACGAAACAAUCAAAAGAGAAGGCGAUCAUAGUAUCACAGGAGUGAUACCAGGAAAAACAGAAGUCUUAAGGGAUAGCUCAACAGAUGUAGCUUCGCCUCAAGACGAUCUGGAAAAUUUGCCUCCCUUAGACUUGUCUUUCGUGGAGAAUUACAACGAUUUAGAAAUCAACUUUGAUUGAAGACUUUGAAAGAGUAUUAUUGUUGUCAAUGAUUUUCUGAGUUUUUUGUCCAUAAUAGUUUAAUCGUUGCAUUUUUCAUUUUGAUCCCAGAGGUAGAUAUUUACAUUAACAAAAACAUUCCUACAUCACUUGAAAUAAAAAAUCUAGACCUUGAGUAAAGAAUUAUUUGGCAAUGGAGUCGUGAACAUUUUCGCAUCUCAUAUUUUUAGCCGUUUCUCUACGAUCGGGAAUGGGUCCUAAUAAAAAAGUUCAAUUUUCACCCCAUCAGAAAGAAUGAGCUCGUUGUCUUCAGUCAUCCAGAAGAAAAAAAGCUAGCAGUUAAAUUAGCGGGAGGUUUUGAAGGCGAUCUUUUUGCGAAGCGAGUGUCAAAUGAGCAAGUUCGAGUUGGCAAAGGACAUUUUUGGGCUCAGUCGGCUAACAGCCGAUUAUUUAAAGACAGCUUCUAUUACGGACCCGUCCCUCUAGGAUUGAUCAUUGGCAAACCGAUUGCUGUAUUAAGUUUCUCUAAUUUUCAAAUACGACCUGUUAAAUUGAGUUGAUAUUAUUGAUAAGAUAUUGAACUGGAGAA
Symsagittifera roscoffensis is the source of this 1024-nucleotide RNA transcript. RefSeq lists it as uncharacterized. NCBI's taxonomy places the organism in Eukaryota, Metazoa, Xenacoelomorpha, Acoela, Convolutidae. The transcript is spliced from 5 exons. The record is from RefSeq and is a predicted model, not a curated record.